This 1138-nucleotide ribosomal RNA is filed under the name Aspergillus tubingensis. RNAcentral's name for it is "eukaryotic LSU rRNA". The stretch from base 533 to 1138 matches the Rfam family "Eukaryotic large subunit ribosomal RNA", at positions 1 to 610 of the family's 3401-position model. The record is from RNAcentral. Lineage: Eukaryota; Fungi; Ascomycota; Eurotiomycetes; Eurotiales; Aspergillaceae.
GUGACCUGCGGAAGGAUCAUUACCGAGUGCGGGUCCUUUGGGCCCAACCUCCCAUCCGUGUCUAUUAUACCCUGUUGCUUCGGCGGGCCCGCCGCUUGUCGGCCGCCGGGGGGGCGCCUUUGCCCCCCGGGCCCGUGCCCGCCGGAGACCCCAACACGAACACUGUCUGAAAGCGUGCAGUCUGAGUUGAUUGAAUGCAAUCAGUUAAAACUUUCAACAUGGAUCUCUUGGUUCCGGCAUCGAUGAAGAACGCACGAAAUGCGAUAACUAAUGUGAAUUGCAGAAUUCAGUGAAUCAUCGAGUCUUUGAACGCACAUUGCGCCCCCUGGUAUUCCGGGGGGCAUGCCUGUCCGAGCGUCAUUGCUGCCCUCAAGCCCGGCUUGUGUGUUGGGUCGCCGUCCCCCUCUCCGGGGGGACGGGCCCGAAAGGCAGCGGCGGCACCGCGUCCGAUCCUCGAGCGUAUGGGGCUUUGUCACAUGCUCUGUAGGAUUGGCCGGCGCCUGCCGACGUUUUCCAACCAUUUUUUCCAGGUUGACCUCGGAUCAGGUAGGGAUACCCGCUGAACUUAAGCAUAUCAAUAAGCGGAGGAAAAGAAACCAACCGGGAUUGCCUCAGUAACGGCGAGUGAAGCGGCAAGAGCUCAAAUUUGAAAGCUGGCUCCUUCGGAGUCCGCAUUGUAAUUUGCAGAGGAUGCUUUGGGUGCGGCCCCCGUCUAAGUGCCCUGGAACGGGCCGUCAGAGAGGGUGAGAAUCCCGUCUUGGGCGGGGUGUCCGUGCCCGUGUAAAGCUCCUUCGACGAGUCGAGUUGUUUGGGAAUGCAGCUCUAAAUGGGUGGUAAAUUUCAUCUAAAGCUAAAUACUGGCCGGAGACCGAUAGCGCACAAGUAGAGUGAUCGAAAGAUGAAAAGCACUUUGAAAAGAGAGUUAAACAGCACGUGAAAUUGUUGAAAGGGAAGCGCUUGCGACCAGACUCGCCCGCGGGGUUCAGCCGGCAUUCGUGCCGGUGUACUUCCCCGUGGGCGGGCCAGCGUCGGUUUGGGCGGCCGGUCAAAGGCCCCUGGAAUGUAGUACCCUCCGGGGUACCUUAUAGCCAGGGGUGCAAUGCGGCCAGCCUGGACCGAGGAACGCGCUUCGGCACGG